GCUCAGAACGAACGCUGGCGGCAGGCUUAACACAUGCAAGUCGAGCGCCCCGCAAGGGGAGCGGCAGACGGGUGAGUAACGCGUGGGAAUCUACCCAUCCCUACGGAACAACUCCGGGAAACUGGAGCUAAUACCGUAUACGCCCUUCGGGGGAAAGAUUUAUCGGGGAUGGAUGAGCCCGCGUUGGAUUAGCUAGUUGGUGGGGUAAAGGCCUACCAAGGCGACGAUCCAUAGCUGGUCUGAGAGGAUGAUCAGCCACAUUGGGACUGAGACACGGCCCAAACUCCUACGGGAGGCAGCAGUGGGGAAUAUUGGACAAUGGGCGCAAGCCUGAUCCAGCCAUGCCGCGUGAGUGAUGAAGGUCUUAGGAUUGUAAAGCUCUUUCACCGGAGAAGAUAAUGAC
RNAcentral lists this ribosomal RNA (403 nucleotides) under Rhizobium sp. R-45860=2192. Its description in RNAcentral is "bacterial SSU rRNA". It matches the Rfam family "Bacterial small subunit ribosomal RNA", at positions 22 to 455 of the family's 1533-position model. Lineage: Bacteria; Pseudomonadati; Pseudomonadota; Alphaproteobacteria; Hyphomicrobiales; Rhizobiaceae. The record is from RNAcentral.